UGGGCCACCGGCUUCAGGUGUUACCGACUUUCAUGACUUGACGGGCGGUGUGUACAAGACCCGGGAACGUAUUCACCGCAGCGUUGCUGAUCUGCGAUUACUAGCGACUCCGACUUCAUGAGGUCGAGUUGCAGACCUCAAUCCGAACUGGGACCGGCUUUUUGGGAUUCGCUCCACCUCACGGUAUUGCAGCCCUUUGUACCGGCCAUUGUAGCAUGCGUGAAGCCCAAGACAUAAGGGGCAUGAUGAUUUGACGUCAUCCCCACCUUCCUCCGAGUUGACCCCGGCAGUAUCCCAUGAGUUCCCACCAUUACGUGCUGGCAACAUAGAACGAGGGUUGCGCUCGUUGCGGGACUUAACCCAACAUCUCACGACACGAGCUGACGACAACCAUGCACCACCUGUUCACCAGUGUCCAAAGAGUCCCGUAUUUCUACGGUGUUCUGGUGUAUGUCAAGCCUUGGUAAGGUUCUUCGCGUUGCAUCGAAUUAAUCCGCAUGCUCCGCCGCUUGUGCGGGUCCCCGUCAAUUCCUUUGAGUUUUAGCCUUGCGGCCGUACUCCCCAGGCGGGGAACUUAAUGCGUUAGCUGCGUCACGGAAACCGUGGAAUGGUCCCCACAACUAGUUCCCAACGUUUACGGGGUGGACUACCAGGGUAUCUAAGCCUGUUUGCUCCCCACCCUUUCGCUCCUCAGCGUCAGUUACGGCCCAGAGAUCUGCCUUCGCCAUCGGUGUUCCUCCUGAUAUCUGCGCAUUCCACCGCUACACCAGGAAUUCCAAUCUCCCCUACCGCACUCUAGUCUGCCCGUACCCACUGCAGGCCCGAGGUUGAGCCUCGGGAUUUCACAGCAGACGCGACAAACCGCCUACGAGCUCUUUACGCCCAAUAAUUCCGGAUAACGCUUGCGCCCUACGUAUUACCGCGGCUGCUGGCACGUAGUUAGCCGGCGCUUUUUCUGCAGGUACCGUCACUCUCGCUUCUUCCCUGCUAAAAGAGGUUUACAACCCGAAGGCCGUCAUCCCUCACGCGGCGUUGCUGCAUCAGGCUUCCGCCCAUUGUGCAAUAUUCCCCACUGCUGCCUCCCGUAGGAGUCUGGGCCGUGUCUCAGUCCCAGUGUGGCCGGUCACCCUCUCAGGCCGGCUACCCGUCGACGCCUUGGUGAGCCAUUACCUCACCAACAAGCUGAUAGGCCGCGAGCCCAUCCCAGACCGAAAAAUCUUUCCAACCCCCACCAUGCGAUGAGAGCUCAUAUCCAGUAUUAGACGCCGUUUCCAGCGCUUAUCCCAGAGUCCAGGGCAGGUUGCUCACGUGUUACUCACCCGUUCGCCACUGAUCCACCAAGCAAGCUUGGCUUCACCG
Molecule: ribosomal RNA, 1359 nt
Filed under: Actinomycetes bacterium
Lineage: Bacteria; Bacillati; Actinomycetota; Actinomycetes
Description: Actinobacteria bacterium partial 16S ribosomal RNA
Source: RNAcentral